GCUCUAUAGAGAAACCUGUAGGGGCAGCUCUAUAGAGAAACCUGUAGGGGGAGCUCUAUAGAGAAACAUGUGAGCAAAAAGCGAGAAAACAGCGAAGAAAUUGCAAAAUUUACGUUGUGCCCCUUU
Molecule: long non-coding RNA, 126 nt
Organism: Etheostoma spectabile (orangethroat darter)
Lineage: Eukaryota; Metazoa; Chordata; Actinopteri; Perciformes; Percidae
Exons: 2
Source: RefSeq, a predicted model, not a curated record